AACCAAAAAUAGCUCAAAAAUCUAACCCCACUAAAUUAACAAUAUAAAUUUAAAUAAAACAUUAAAUAUAACUAAAGUAUAGGUGAUAGAAAUUUUAUCUGACGCUAUAGAAAGAGUACCGUAAGGGAAAAAAUGAAAGAA
This 141-nucleotide ribosomal RNA is filed under the name Eptesicus fuscus (big brown bat). Its description in RNAcentral is "partial 16S ribosomal RNA". Lineage: Eukaryota; Metazoa; Chordata; Mammalia; Chiroptera; Vespertilionidae. The record is from RNAcentral.